CCUACGGGAGGCAGCAGUGGGGGAUAUUGCACAAUGGGCGAAAGCCUGAUGCAGCGACGCCGCGUGAGGGAAGACGGUCUUCGGAUUGUAAACCUCUGUCUUUGGGGAAGAAAAUGACGGUACCCAAAGAGGAAGCUCCGGCUAACUACGUGCCAGCAGCCGCGGUAAUACGUAGGGAGCAAGCGUUGUCCGGAAUUACUGGGUGUAAAGGGAGCGUAGGCGGGAUGGCAAGUAGAAUGUUAAAUCCAUCGGCUCAACCGGUGGCUGCGUUCUAAACUGCCGUUCUUGAGUGAAGUAGAGGCAGG
RNAcentral lists this ribosomal RNA (305 nucleotides) under uncultured bacterium. Its description in RNAcentral is "bacterial SSU rRNA". It matches the Rfam family "Bacterial small subunit ribosomal RNA", at positions 338 to 661 of the family's 1533-position model. The record is from RNAcentral.